GCAUAGGUUUGGAUUGAUGGCAGACCCAACCCCAUGGGCCUCUUAUAGUGUCCCAUGUCAGAGCGAACUGUAACCAUGAACCAUUGCCCGGCUCUCUCAAAGGCAUCGGGCACUGAAGUGGGUUACACAGUG
This is a small nucleolar RNA of Echinops telfairi (small Madagascar hedgehog), 132 nucleotides long. RefSeq annotates it as small nucleolar RNA SNORA42/SNORA80 family. Lineage: Eukaryota; Metazoa; Chordata; Mammalia; Afrosoricida; Tenrecidae. The transcript has a single exon. The record is from RefSeq and is a predicted model, not a curated record.